Molecule: ribosomal RNA, 492 nt
Filed under: uncultured bacterium
Lineage: Bacteria
Description: partial 16S ribosomal RNA
Rfam family: Bacterial small subunit ribosomal RNA
Source: RNAcentral
AGUGAACGCUGGCGGUAGGCCUAACACAUGCAAGUCGAACGGCAGCACAGUAAGAGCUUGCUCUUACGGGUGGCGAGUGGCGGGCGGGUGAGGAAUACAUCGGAAUCUACUUUUUCGUGGGGGAUAACGUAGGGAGACUUACGCUAAUACCGCAUACGACCUACGGGUGAAAGCAGGGGAUCUUCGGACCUUGCGCGAUUGAAUGAGCCGAUGUCGGAUUAGCUAGUUGGCGGGGUAAAGGCCCACCAAGGCGACGAUCCGUAGCUGGUCUGAGAGGAUGAUCAGCCACACUGGAACUGAGACACGGUCCAGACUCCUACGGGAGGCAGCAGUGGGGAAUAUUGGACAAUGGGCGCAAGCCUGAUCCAGCCAUACCGCGUGGGUGAAGAAGGCCUUCGGGUUGUAAAGCCCUUUUGUUGGGAAAGAAAAGCAGCAGGUUAAUACCCCGCUGUUCUGACGGUACCCAAAGAAUAAGCACCGGCUAACUUCGUG